This 107-nucleotide small nuclear RNA is filed under the name Cervus hanglu yarkandensis (Yarkand deer). Lineage: Eukaryota; Metazoa; Chordata; Mammalia; Artiodactyla; Cervidae. The record is from RNAcentral.
GUGCUCGCUUUGGCAGCACAUAUACUAAAAUUGGAACGGUACAGAGAAGAUUAGCAUGUCCCCUGCGCAAGGAUGACACGCAAAUUCGUGAAGCAUUCCAUAUUUUU